This is a long non-coding RNA of Magallana angulata, 472 nucleotides long. RefSeq lists it as uncharacterized. NCBI's taxonomy places the organism in Eukaryota, Metazoa, Mollusca, Bivalvia, Ostreida, Ostreidae. The transcript has 3 exons. The record is from RefSeq and is a predicted model, not a curated record.
CCAUGCUUACUGCCCAUUGACCAGCAUAACAAAUGUUUCAAGUGUACAGUGUCAGACUGACAUUAAUUUGGAGGACCUGUCCAUCUAUCAGGAUGUACACCUUAAAAACCAGGGCAGCUUAAGAAGAAGCUUAAUAGUUUCAGAUGUCCUGCAAGAUGAUAACUCUUGUAAAAUUUACACAGGGCUGUCUCUUGGAAUUUUCUUUUUGUUGUUUAAUUCUCUAAAAGAAAAGGCCCUAAGACUAUCAUACUGGAGGGGAAAAGAAACAAACUUGGAAAACCAUCAGGCAAAAAGAAAAGGACCAAAAAGACACUUAAGUAUUUUAGAGGAAAUGGUAAUGACACUGAUACGACGUAGAAGAAGCAUAGAUACAACAACUUUGGGUGCCAUGUUUGGUGUAAAGGCAGGAACUGUCAGCAAUUUUUUUUUUCUUGGACUACUUUUCUUUACUUCGAACUUAAAUUCUUGAUCU